UGAUUUUUGAUGUCUACAUCUCUUGCUUACAUUUUACUUUGGAGGUUGCAAGAUCAACAUAACCUGAGUUUGGAAAAUAUUUAACAAAAUUCAAAAGAGGAAAAAAAAUCACUUCUAUUAAAAUGUACCUGAAUAAGAGGUAUAGAAAGCACAGAUGUGGUAAUGUUGAAGGAAAGAAGGCACACAUGGGAGCUUAUGCUGUAUAAUUCCAUUUAUACAAUGUAUCAACACAGGUGCAAAAAGUACAAUUAGCUGCUACAUCUCUGAGAAGAAAGAAUUUUGCUGAUGAUCUAACAGAACUUGUGAGUCAUCCAUCAGGAGAUGUUUUAAUGGUGCCAAGAACUCAGUAAAGUCUGUGAUGGAUUUGGCAAGGUCAUUUGUCAUUUUCACAUCAGCAUGGUUUUGGCACCUGCUUCUCAGUAAAGAAUUGCACUGUUGGAAACUCACUUUUGACAAAGAUGGUCUGCUUCUGACCAAAUGGUUUAUGCUACAGCAGAGAAGUACAUUUUUUCAGAAAUUAUGGAUAACAUUCUCAUGGACUUAAUCAUCUUUCAUAUUAGUUCUCAAUACAAAAUGGCAUGCUUAACAGUUACAGUGAUUUCAUCCAGUUUUCUCUGGAACAAUUUGUGACUGAACUGGUGAAUAUGUUAUGCCCUAAGUAUCCGUCAUUUCUUCUUGUAGAUUUGAGUUAGCAUCUGAUAUCACUUCUUCCCAGCCUGAUGAUUUCUGUUAGAACUUUCUAUAAGGCUCUUCUGGAGAAGGAUGCUGAACCUUCAGAUAUCAGGCCAGCAUUCCCAAAAGAAAGAAGGAAGAAUGGUGAAAGGCAAAGGAUCAAAGAAAUAGCUGCAGUAUGGACAAAAUGCUGGAGUUGAGCAUCACUGGAAGGAAGACUCAGUUAAAAGAAAAAAAGAAAUCAUUGUUACAUUUAAGAAGAUGGACAUGGCAUGAUUUGAUACAGAUUGGCAUGAUGUAAGUUUAUGCAUGUGGCAGGACGGCUGUCUCAAUUUGUACUUGUAUUUGUGCAGACAUACUUGUAGGACAAGAGAAAAGAGAGCCAAUAGAUCAUUUAGCACUUGCUGGAAGAGAGUAAUUUACUAAUCCAUCAUUUCAUGGGGCUCAUGGAGUAUCAGAACAAAAGCCAAAUUUUGGCUGAAUGUACCUAGCUGUAUACUGCAAAGAAAUAUCAUUUUUUUUAUUACUUUGACAGAAGCCAGUCCAAAUAGCACACAGAAAAGAGCAAAUUGCUGUCUACAUUUGACUGUGUCCUGGAAGAGUAACUGAGUGCAAUAUCUUCUGAGAAAUAUAA
Molecule: long non-coding RNA, 1306 nt
Filed under: Homo sapiens (human)
Lineage: Eukaryota; Metazoa; Chordata; Mammalia; Primates; Hominidae
Description: HSALNT0045157
Source: RNAcentral